RNAcentral lists this ribosomal RNA (1006 nucleotides) under uncultured bacterium. RNAcentral describes it as "bacterial SSU rRNA". It matches the Rfam family "Bacterial small subunit ribosomal RNA", at positions 51 to 1102 of the family's 1533-position model. The record is from RNAcentral.
ACACAUGCAGUCGAACGAAGUAGCAAUACUUAGUGGCAGACGGGUGAGUAACAUGUAGGUAUCUGCCCUUUGGCCUGGAAUAACACGAGGAAACUUGUGCUAAUACCGGAUAAGUCUUUACGGAGAAAGCUUUAUGCACCAUUGGAUGAGCCUGCACUUGAUUAGUUUGUUGGUGGGGUAAUGGCCUACCAAGACUGUGAUCAAUAGCUGAUUUGAGAGGAUGAUCAGCCACAUUGGGACUGAGACACGGCCCAAACUCCUACGGGAGGCAGCAGUGGGGAAUCUUGCACAAUGGAGGAAACUCUGAUGCAGCGAUGCCGCGUGAGUGAAGAAGGCCUUUGGGUUGUAAAGCUCUUUCGUCGGGGAAGAAAAUGACUGUACCCGAAUAAGAAGGUCCGGCUAACUUCGUGCCAGCAGCCGCGGUAAUACGAAGGGACCUAGCGUAGUUCGGAAUUACUGGGCUUAAAGAGUUCGUAGGUGGUUGAAAAAGUUGGUGGUGAAAUCCCAGAGCUUAACUCUGGAACUGCCAUCAAAACUUUUCAGCUAGAGUAUGAUAGAGGAAAGCAGAAUUUCUAGUGUAGAGGUGAAAUUCGUAGAUAUUAGAAAGAAUACCAAUUGCGAAGGCAGCUUUCUGGAUCAUUACUGACACUGAGGAACGAAAGCAUGGGUAGCGAAGAGGAUUAGAUACCCUCGUAGUCCAUGCCGUAAACGAUGUGUGUUAGACGUUGGAAAUUUAUUUUCAGUGUCGCAGGGAAACCGAUAAACACACCGCCUGGGGAGUACGACCGCAAGGUUAAAACUCAAAUGAAUUGACGGGGACCCGCACAAGUAGUGGAGCAUGUGGUUUAAUUCGAAGAUACGCGCAGAACCUUACCAACACUUGACAUGUUCGUCGCGACUCUAAGAGAUUAGAGUUUUCGGUUCGGCCGGACGAAACACAGGUGCUGCAUGGCUGUCGUCAGCUCGUGUCGUGAGAUGUUGGGUUAAGUCCCGCAACGAGCGCACC